RNAcentral lists this ribosomal RNA (82 nucleotides) under Duganella violaceipulchra. RNAcentral describes it as "partial 23S ribosomal RNA". It matches the Rfam family "Bacterial large subunit ribosomal RNA", at positions 2844 to 2925 of the family's 2925-position model. The record is from RNAcentral. Lineage: Bacteria; Pseudomonadati; Pseudomonadota; Betaproteobacteria; Burkholderiales; Oxalobacteraceae.
ACCAGGACGUUGAUAGGUCAGGUGUGGAAGUGCAGUAAUGCAUUAAGCUAACUGAUACUAAUUGCCCGUACGGCUUGUCCCU